AUUCAACGCUGGCGGCGUGCUUAACACAUGCAAGUCGAUCGGUAACAGGUGUAGCAAUACAUGCUGACGAGAGGCGGACGGGUGAGGAAUAUUUGGGAAUCUGCCCAUCAGCGGGGGACAACCCGGGGAAACCCGGGCUAAUACCGCAUACGCUCUACGGAGGAAAGCCGGGGACCGCAAGGCCUGGCACUGAUGGAUGGGCCCAAAUCGGAUUAGCUAGUUGGCGGGGUAACGGCCCACCAAGGCGACGAUCCGUAGCUGGUCUGAGAGGACGAUCAGCCACACCGGAACUGAGACACGGUCCGGACUCCUACGGGAGGCAGCAGUGGGGAAGAUUGGACAAUGGGGGAAACCCUGAUCCAGCGACGCCGCGUGGGUGAAGAAGGCCUGCGGGUUGUAAAGCCCUUUCGGUAGGGACGAAAGCUCUUGCUCUAAUAAUGCAAGAGGUUGACUUAACCUACAUAAGAAGCACCGGCUAACUCUGUGCCAGCCGCCGCGGUAA
This 502-nucleotide ribosomal RNA is filed under the name uncultured bacterium. RNAcentral's name for it is "partial 16S ribosomal RNA". It matches the Rfam family "Bacterial small subunit ribosomal RNA", at positions 29 to 523 of the family's 1533-position model. The record is from RNAcentral.